GAUGAACGCUGGCGGCGUGCCUAAUACAUGCAAGUAGAACGCUGAAGGAGGAGCUUGCUCUUCUGGAUGAGUUGCGAACGGGUGAGUAACGCGUAGGUAACCUGCCUGGUAGCGGGGGAUAACUAUUGGAAACGAUAGCUAAUACCGCAUGACAACAGUUAUUGCAUGAUAACUGUUUAAAAGGGGCAACUGCUCCACUACCAGAUGGACCUGCGUUGUAUUAGCUAGUUGGUGAGGUAACGGCUCACCAAGGCGACGAUACAUAGCCGACCUGAGAGGGUGAUCGGCCACACUGGGACUGAGACACGGCCCGGACUCCUACGGGAGGCAGCAGUAGGGAAUCUUCGGCAAUGGACGGAAGUCUGACCGAGCAACGCCGCGUGAGUGAAGAAGGUUUUCGGAUCGUAAAGCUCGGUUGUAAGAGAAGAACGAGUGUGAGAGUGGAAAGUUCACACUGUGACGGUAUCUUACCAGAAAGGGACGGCUAACUACGUG
This 495-nucleotide ribosomal RNA is filed under the name uncultured bacterium. Its description in RNAcentral is "partial 16S ribosomal RNA". It matches the Rfam family "Bacterial small subunit ribosomal RNA", at positions 28 to 507 of the family's 1533-position model. The record is from RNAcentral.